AGAGUUUGAUCCUGGCUCAGGACGAACGCUGGCGGCGUGCCUAAUACAUGCAAGUCGAACGAACUCUGGUAUUGAUUGGUGCUUGCAUCAUGAUUUACAUUUGAGUGAGUGGCGAACUGGUGAGUAACACGUGGGAAACCUGCCCAGAAGCGGGGGAUAACACCUGGAAACAGAUGCUAAUACCGCAUAACAACUUGGACCGCAUGGUCCGAGUUUGAAAGAUGGCUUCGGCUAUCACUUUUGGAUGGUCCCGCGGCGUAUUAGCUAGAUGGUGGGGUAACGGCUCACCAUGGCAAUGAUACGUAGCCGACCUGAGAGGGUAAUCGGCCACAUUGGGACUGAGACACGGCCCAAACUCCUACGGGAGGCAGCAGUAGGGAAUCUUCCACAAUGGACGAAAGUCUGAUGGAGCAACGCCGCGUGAGUGAAGAAGGGUUUCGGCUCGUAAAACUCUGUUGUUAAAGAAGAACAUAUCUGAGAGUAACUGUUCAGGUAUUGACGGUAUUUAACCAGAAAGCCACGGCUAACUACGUGCCAGCAGCCGCGGUAAUACGUAGGUGGCAAGCGUUGUCCGGAUUUAUUGGGCGUAAAGCGAGCGCAGGCGGUUUUUUAAGUCUGAUGUGAAAGCCUUCGGCUCAACCGAAGAAGUGCAUCGGAAACUGGGAAACUUGAGUGCAGAAGAGGACAGUGGAACUCCAUGUGUAGCGGUGAAAUGCGUAGAUAUAUGGAAGAACACCAGUGGCGAAGGCGGCUGUCUGGUCUGUAACUGACGCUGAGGCUCGAAAGUAUGGGUAGCAAACAGGAUUAGAUACCCUGGUAGUCCAUACCGUAAACGAUGAAUGCUAAGUGUUGGAGGGUUUCCGCCCUUCAGUGCUGCAGCUAACGCAUUAAGCAUUCCGCCUGGGGAGUACGGCCGCAAGGCUGAAACUCAAAGGAAUUGACGGGGGCCCGCACAAGCGGUGGAGCAUGUGGUUUAAUUCGAAGCUACGCGAAGAACCUUACCAGGUCUUGACAUACUAUGCAAAUCUAAGAGAUUAGACGUUCCCUUCGGGGACAUGGAUACAGGUGGUGCAUGGUUGUCGUCAGCUCGUGUCGUGAGAUGUUGGGUUAAGUCCCGCAACGAGCGCAACCCUUAUUAUCAGUUGCCAGCAUUAAGUUGGGCACUCUGGUGAGACUGCCGGUGACAAACCGGAGGAAGGUGGGGAUGACGUCAAAUCAUCAUGCCCCUUAUGACCUGGGCUACACACGUGCUACAAUGGAUGGUACAACGAGUUGCGAACUCGCGAGAGUAAGCUAAUCUCUUAAAGCCAUUCUCAGUUCGGAUUGUAGGCUGCAACUCGCCUACAUGAAGUCGGAAUCGCUAGUAAUCGCGGAUCAGCAUGCCGCGGUGAAUACGUUCCCGGGCCUUGUACACACCGCCCGUCACACCAUGAGAGUUUGUAACACCCAAAGUCGGUGGGGUAACCUUUUAGGAACCAGCCGCCUAAGGUGGGACAGAUGAUUAGGGUGAAGUCGUAACA
Molecule: ribosomal RNA, 1520 nt
Filed under: Lactiplantibacillus plantarum subsp. plantarum
Lineage: Bacteria; Bacillati; Bacillota; Bacilli; Lactobacillales; Lactobacillaceae
Description: Lactobacillus plantarum subsp. plantarum 16S ribosomal RNA
Rfam family: Bacterial small subunit ribosomal RNA
Source: RNAcentral